GCUCUGGACCCAAGAGUCUAGUUUGAGUCAAAAUCUAUUCAUGUGUAAAUUGGCUAAAUGAUAAACAUCGAAAGCUCAACACCACAACUCGUCUCCGCCCAACCACGAAGAAUGAGGUAACAAGUAUCUUGAUUUAUAUUGGUCCGAACCUGUGAAAUGUUGGAAAUUGCGAUGGGAAUAUUACUCUUGUGAAAAUAAAGAUAUUUCUAUGGAAUCAAGAUGGCCCAACGGUAUUAUGCUCCGAUGCGUAACCGUUACUCCAGCAAUAGGGACCACCCAGUUGAGCGCUACCAAGACUACGAGUGGGAUGGGAAGCUCUUCCUUAUGUCCUACGUCACCGAGUUUUACAAUAGAUGGAUGAACGCUUACGCGUAUGGGGGAGCCACCCAUCACGCGGGAAUCAAAAAGCUCAUCCACACUCUACCAUCUCCUUGGAGCGAGUGGGUAGCCCAAGCGUCUGAGUCAUUCACAUGGUAUAACCCGCCCGAAUACACACCGCGGGGGGACUUGGUCGGCCUUAUAAAGGUGCUACUUCCGGCCAUGACAUCUGCAUCCGACGGACCGCCACGUGAUCCACCUCCACACAUCUAUCCGCCGGGUCAAGCCCGCAUGCGGUAGUAUCGCUACGACGAGGAGCCACAUGUCUCCCGUGCUCCUAAGAGAAGGAGACUCGGGAUGCGUAUCUCGGCCCCUCUAAGAAUAGACAGAGAGGUCGACAGGAUGCUCGGGAUGACCCCUCCGGCCGUAGGUGCCGAGGAGGGAAGUGAGAAAGAGGAACCAGAUGAGGAGGGGGAGGACCCACAUGGAGAGAGUGUUGGAGAGACCGAGGAGAAAGAGGAUGAGGAUGGAGACAUUUAGAAAUAAUAAUUAUGGGAUGUCUUGUUACACUUUCCCCCAUGUUCUGAUACUUUAUUAUUUUGCUUGACCUUACCAUUUUCUGUCCACGGUUGUUUUACUCUUUUUGCCUUCCUUGUGAUGGAUACUAAGACCUCGUAGAGGCAACGUUUUGAUAUUUCUAUGGGGAAUUCUUGUCUUUUGCUA
Salvia splendens (bonfire salvia) is the source of this 1041-nucleotide long non-coding RNA. RefSeq lists it as uncharacterized. Lineage: Eukaryota; Viridiplantae; Streptophyta; Magnoliopsida; Lamiales; Lamiaceae. The record is from RefSeq and is a predicted model, not a curated record. The transcript has 2 exons.